Cinara cedri is the source of this 321-nucleotide non-coding RNA. The record is from the annotation of a GenBank genome assembly. Lineage: Eukaryota; Metazoa; Arthropoda; Insecta; Hemiptera; Aphididae.
AAAAUGUUUAAUAUAUUAUUGUACCUAUUUUGUAUUCUUAUUUAUGAACUUGUAAAAUUAUUAUAUUGGUUAUUGAUUACAAAUUAAUUCAUGGUAAGUAAAAAUUGUAUGUACAAACAAAUAAUUUAUGUAUAGAAAUAAAUAAAUAAAUAAAUGAAUGAAUGCAACGCCUGGAGUAUUAUGAUAAAUGUAUUGUACAAACGGUUUAAAAUUAUACAUCGAUCAUUAGAUAAAUCUCAGUGAGAUAAGUCAAUAAGUAAAACGCGACUGAAUAUGAAAAAUAAAACACGGAAUACACGGAGUAAAAAUUAUAAAAAUUGG